Aquila chrysaetos chrysaetos is the source of this 3453-nucleotide RNA transcript. It is a transcript of the gene named dolichyl-phosphate N-acetylglucosaminephosphotransferase 1, with no coding region annotated. NCBI's taxonomy places the organism in Eukaryota, Metazoa, Chordata, Aves, Accipitriformes, Accipitridae. The transcript has 10 exons. The record is from RefSeq and is a predicted model, not a curated record.
GUCUGAAGGCACCUCGGGUCACCACGGGCAAGCCCUGCUGGCUGCUACCGCACCCUCUGCCGCUUCUCGCCUCUGCCCGCCGACUCGCACCCAAACGCGACAUCUGUGGAGAGAAACUGCGCCUAUCCCGACUCCCUCCCCCCCCCAGGAAUAAUCCCCUGGGGCUCCAAUAGCUGUUACAGAUCGCCUGGCGACUGAAGAGCUCGAGUAAGACGUUUUAUUGGGGUGGUUUUUUUUUCCCCAGCAUCUGAGGAAACGCGUGGCGCGAGGAGACCGACGGUCGCUCCGUUUUUCACUCCCGCGCAUCCCGCCAGCGCUAGACGCGGGAGGGCCACCCCCACCCCCCGUAACCCGGCUCCCCGCCCCGGAGGCUGGCAGUGCUGCCCUGCUCGGGGGUCGCCGGCAGCCGCCCGCAAGCGCCGCUUCCCAGACCUGGGCACAAAAGGCGGUGCCGGCCGCCGGGAGGGAGGCCGGCCGGGCGGGCGCCGCCGCUGCGCCGCGCACCCCUCAGCUGCGGCUUGCCCGCUCCCCGCCGGGAAGGAAGUGACGUACCUGGAGGCGGAAUAGAGCCGGUUCGAGGGGCGCCGAGGCGGCCAUGGCGGUUGCGGGCGCUGCGGGGCGGAGCCCGUCGCGGGGCCGCGCCCGGGCCGGGGCGAGCGCCGCUUCCCGCGCGGAUCCACGCGGGCUCCAGCGCCGGGCACGGGGGCUUACGGACGCCCUCAGAGCAGCCGAAAGCGGUACCGGCCCCGGCCGGUCUCCGCGCAGAGCCCCACGCCGGCAGGCGGCUCGCGCCAGGGCCAAAGAUGGCGCGCCCCUCGCCGGUGGGCCGGAGGGCGCAUCCGGUGCCUCCUCAGUAGCCUCCGGCUGGAAACACGCGGCGGGAGGCGGCGAGCGGCGCUCCGCGCCCGGCCCCGCUCUUUGCCCUUGGCAGGGGCAGCGCCCGCCGCGGCCAUGGCGGCCUGGCCCGCCGUGCCCCUCCUCAUCAACCUCGGCGGGUCGCUGCUGGGCUUCGUGGCCACGCUCACGCUGAUCCCGGCCUUCAAGGACCACUUCCUCGCCGCGCGGCUCUUCGGCCAAGACCUCAACAAGGCCUCGCGGCACCCCGUCCCCGAAGCACAGGGUGUGAUCAGCGGGGCCGUGUUCCUGAUCACCCUCUUCUGCUUCAUCCCCGUGCCCUUCCUGAGAUGCUUCGUGGAGGAGCAGUGCGCGGCCUUUCCUUAUGACGAGUUCGUGGAGCUCAUCGGUUCGCUCCUCGCCAUCUGCUGCAUGAUUUUCCUGGGCUUUGCCGAUGACGUUCUGAACCUGCGCUGGCGCCACAAGCUCCUUCUUCCUACCAUGGCUUCCCUCCCGCUGCUCAUGGUUUACUUCACCAACUUUGGGAACACGACCAUUGUGGUGCCUAAGCCCUUCCGGGUGCUGCUGGGCAUGCACUUGGACCUGGGUAUCCUCUACUAUGUGUACAUGGGCAUGCUAGCAGUGUUCUGCACCAACGCCAUCAACAUUCUUGCUGGAAUUAAUGGAAUUGAAGCAGGGCAGUCUCUGGUGAUAGCUGCUUCCAUCAUCGUAUUCAACAUUGUAGAGUUAAAUGGGGAUUAUCGAGAUGAUCACAUUUUUUCCCUCUACUUCAUGAUUCCCUUUUUUUUUACCACGCUGGGGCUGUUUUACCACAACUGGUACCCAUCUCGAGUGUUUGUUGGGGACACCUUCUGCUACUUUGCUGGCAUGACCUUUGCAGUGGUGGGGAUCUUGGGGCACUUUAGCAAAACAAUGCUGCUUUUUUUCAUCCCACAAGUGCUCAACUUCCUCUACUCGUUGCCUCAACUGUUCCACAUCAUUCCUUGUCCCCGUCACCGGCUGCCGAGGCUCAAUCCUAGUACAGGGAAGUUGGAGAUGAGCUACUCCAAAUUCAAAACUAAGAGCCUCUCUGCCCUGGGAACAAACAUUCUGAAGGCAGUCAAGAUCUUGCACAUAGUAGAUGUGAGGAGUGGAACAGAUGAAGAUGGCGAAUACACCGAGUGCAAUAAUAUGACACUUAUUAACUUUGUUAUAAAGCUGAUUGGACCCACCCACGAGCGAAAUCUCACUCUCCUGUUGCUACUCAUUCAGGUCAGACAAAUGGUUCCUCCAGUAGAAAGACGUACGAUGCAGUUGAGCUGUGCAAAUUGAGGAGAAUCAGAGGUUUACACAGCUCAAGGAGGAAACAGAUUCCUCCCCCCUCCCCGCCCCAUUCAUUGGGAGCUAAUAAAUAUAAAGUCCCUAAGUUAGCUUGAAAAGAGUCCCAAGGCACAAAUCGCUGGCUGCUAGAAAAACAUUAGGAAAGCAGAGUGCCUUGUCACUCUGAUCCGAUACAGCCUUUUUUCCACAUUCGUUUUUCAGUCACACCAAAUAAUAGUCCCGGAGUUAUCUCCAGUCAGCGGACUUGCGUAAGCGUGGCAGGCAGCUCAGCGGUAUCUGAAAUCUGAGUGGGGUGCAGGAGUGUUUUGAAGCAACUUGGAGCACAAGGAUAACGUGCCUCUCAGAUACUGCCGCUACCUCCAUUCAGCACAUGAACUCGCCUCCAUAAUAUAGUAGAAACACUGCUUUUGGAAAGGCCUGCAUUGUUUAGUUGCCCACAAUAAAAUUAUUUUUUCAUCCUCAGAUCAAAGAUAAGAGAUUCUUACUAGGAAAGAGAAGAGACACUUAGCCAAAUUCCCAUUGGUGAGGAAGGACUUCCAGCAAACAAACCUGGAGACUGAGCAGGGCUUAGGCAGGCUACAUCGGGGAUGGGAGAGGACGGGAAGUACAUACUGCUUGAUCUUGAGCCCAGUCACAGCAGAGAAGUCUUGUCAGCACCUUCUUGUAAGGAUGCUGAAUUGCAGCUUUGACAUGAGGUCCUGGGUAGCACAAUUGCUUUUUCAAUCCGGUACCAACUAGUGCGCUUGUUUUACGAUGUAUGACUGGGCUGUCGGGAGCAGGGGAAAGAGUUGUACCUGCCAGUCAAUUUUCUCCAGUUGCUGACCAAAUGAUUCAACUGAUCUUACUCCGGCCCUCCGAGAACCUCAGGACAUCCGUCAGAAUGCAAGCAACUACUCUGCGUGGGCCAGUCUUGAACUGUAAUCAUCUUUUUUUGUGCACAGAAGGCUUUUGUCCGAUUCUGCUGACAGAAAAGAUUCACUGCUACUUGGACAUCAUUGUUACUGGGAAUACCUUUCAGAGGGGAAGUAAAUGACCCAAAUGUUUACUCACAGCAAAGUGGGAAGGAUGAAAUCUCUAUACAUCUAGCAACCAUGUUACUGUUCCCCAAGAGAGGAAACGGGAACUUCCAUUUCCAUGAGACUCUGUACAGCAGAGCAAGUAAACCAGAAUCCUCUCCUGGCUUCUCCAAUCCUGCCUUUGGUCCAUGGACAUAGAGUGACAUGUUAUAAACCAUACCCAAAACUCAAGAGCGCUCUGAGAAUAAAAUAACUCAUGGUA